GUUGAAAGAUGAAAGAGAGACGCCGGGAGGUGAUUACCGCCGGCCACAGCAAGACGAUGGUGGUUGAUAGCGGCAACGGCCGCCUCCAGAGGCAAGGCAGAUGCCAGACGGCAUGGUGACAACUGCGUUUUUUUCCACGCCGACGGUGACGACGGAGUUCUUUUUAACUCCGGUGGUGGCGAGGUCGUGGAAACAAGGGGUUAUGGUUCCGUAAAUCCAACUAAUCUUAACCACCAGUUGUCAUUUCGCUUGACCUCCUAGAAUGUAUCCAGCGAUUGGCUGGUUCGAACUAUCAUUCUUCUUUGAUAACCUGGCUAUAAAGAAGAUAAAUGGCUUGCUGACACACGAAACUGGGCUAAAAAGAUUCAAGAAGAAUGGAGGAUUCUCGAAAAAGAAUUACCUGAUAUGAUAUUUGUUACGGACUUACGGUUUAUGAAUCGAGGAUGGGUCUUUUAAAAGCGUCAUAAUGGGAGCUGAAGGAACGCCGUAUCAUGAUUGUCUUUUUUCCUAUGAUGUGUGCUUCCCUAAAACCUAUCCUCAUGAUCCACCUAUUUCUUAGUAUCAGGCACUAACCUUAAAACAAAGGCAGGUAAGCAAAAAAAAAACAACCACUUUUCCAUUUGCUUUCAGUUUGCAGUAUGUAUUAAAAUGUGGACUCAAUAGUUUGAAAAGUCAUAUGGACAGUUGUAGUAUUUUGUUUAUGCCAUUCCAGAUCCGAAGCUAUGUUUCUACGUUUGUUACUUACUCCGUUAUGGUUCUUACUUCGUACUUUUGGUACUUCUUUUGUGGUUAAACGUUCUGUUAUUGAGCUUCGAUCACAACCCAAACGGGUCACUUUACUUGGAAUCGAACCAAUAUCGACCGGGCUCCCACUAUUAACAGUAUUCUGUCCAUAAUACGUUUUAAUUUAAUAUGUUUGUAUGAUUCUAGAUUGAUUGUCGAUAUUCUAUUUUGAAUAUCACGACUUUAAUAUAUGAAUUUGUGCUUUCGGU
This 992-nucleotide long non-coding RNA is filed under the name Helianthus annuus (common sunflower). RNAcentral describes it as "hypothetical non coding rna". The record is from RNAcentral. Lineage: Eukaryota; Viridiplantae; Streptophyta; Magnoliopsida; Asterales; Asteraceae.